RNAcentral lists this ribosomal RNA (468 nucleotides) under uncultured bacterium. RNAcentral's name for it is "partial 16S ribosomal RNA". It matches the Rfam family "Bacterial small subunit ribosomal RNA", at positions 28 to 507 of the family's 1533-position model. The record is from RNAcentral.
GACGAACGCUGGCGGCGGGCUUAACACAUGCAAGUCGAACGGAAAGGCCCUGCUUUUGUGGGGUGCUCGAGUGGCGAACGGGUGAGUAACACGUGAGUAACCUGCCCUGGACUUUGGGAUAACUUCAGGAAACUGGGGCUAAUACCGGAUAGGAGCUCCUGCUGCAUGGGGGGGGUUGGAAAGUUUCGGCGGUGGGGGAUGGACUCGCGGCUUAUCAGCUUGUUGGUGGGGGAGUGGCUUACCAAGGCUUUGGCGGGUAGCCGGCAUGAGAGGGUGACCGGCGACAUGGGGACUAAGAUAGGCCGCAGACUCGUAUGGGGGACAGCAGUGGAGAGUAUUGUACAGUGGGGGCGAGUCUGUUGCGGAAGCGCGCGGUGCGGAAUGCCGGCUUUCGUGUGGGAAACGGCUUUAGGUUGAGACGAAGCGGGAGUGACGUUACUGAGUAAAGAAGCACCGGCUAACUACGUG